AGUCGAGCGAAGCGCUGUUUUCAGAAUCUUCGGAGGAAGAGGACAGUGACUGAGCGGCGGACGGGUGAGUAACGCGUGGGCAACCUGCCUCAUACAGGGGGAUAACAGUUAGAAAUGACUGCUAAUACCGCAUAAGCGCACAGGACCGCAUGGUGUAGUGUGAAAAACUCCGGUGGUAUGAGAUGGACCCGCGUCUGAUUAGGUAGUUGGUGGGGUAAAGGCCUACCAAGCCGACGAUCAGUAGCCGACCUGAGAGGGUGACCGGCCACAUUGGGACUGAGACACGGCCCAAACUCCUACGGGAGGCAGCAGUGGGGAAUAUUGCACAAUGGGGGAAACCCUGAUGCAGCGACGCCGCGUGAAGGAAGAAGUAUUUCGGUAUGUAAACUUCUAUCAGCAGGGAAGAAGAUGACGGUACCUGAGUAAGAAGCACCGGCUAAAUACGUGCCAGCAGCCGCGGUAAUACGUAUGGUGCAAGCGUUAUCCGGAUUUACUGGGUGUAAAGGGAGCGUAGACGGAUAGGCAAGUCUGGAGUGAAAACCCAGGGCUCAACCCUGGGACUGCUUUGGAAACUGCAGAUCUGGAGUGCCGGAGAGGUAAGCGGAAUUCCUAGUGUAGCGGUGAAAUGCGUAGAUAUUAGGAGGAACACCAGUGGCGAAGGCGGCUUACUGGACGGUGACUGACGUUGAGGCUCGAAAGCGUGGGGAGCAAACAGGAUUAGAUACCCUGGUAGUCCACGCCGUAAACGAUGACUACUAGGUGUCGGUGUGCAAAGCACAUCGGUGCCGCAGCAAACGCAAUAAGUAGUCCACCUGGGGAGUACGUUCGCAAGAAUGA
Molecule: ribosomal RNA, 837 nt
Filed under: uncultured bacterium
Lineage: Bacteria
Description: bacterial SSU rRNA
Rfam family: Bacterial small subunit ribosomal RNA
Source: RNAcentral